RNAcentral lists this ribosomal RNA (462 nucleotides) under uncultured bacterium. Its description in RNAcentral is "bacterial SSU rRNA". It matches the Rfam family "Bacterial small subunit ribosomal RNA", at positions 331 to 793 of the family's 1533-position model. The record is from RNAcentral.
CCAGACUCCUACGGGAGGCAGCAGUGGGGGAUAUUGCACAAUGGGGGAAACCCUGAUGCAGCGACGCCGCGUGAGUGAAGAAGUAUUUCGGUAUGUAAAGCUCUAUCGGCAGGGAAGAAAAAGCGCGCGAGCGCCCUUGACAGUACCUGACUAAGAAGCCCCGGCUAACUACGUGCCAGCAGCCGCGGGAAUACGUAGGGGGCAAGCGUUAUCCGGAUUUACUGGGUGUAAAGGGAGCGUAGGCGGCCAUGCAAGUCAGAAGUGAAAACCCGGGGCUCAACCCUGGGAGUGCUUUUGAAACUGUGCGGCUAGAGUGUCGGAGGGGUAAGUGGAAUUCCUAGUGUAGCGGUGAAAUGCGUAGAUAUUAGGAGGAACACCAGUGGCGAAGGCGGCCUGCUGGGCUUUUACUGACGCUGAGGCUCGAAAGUGUGGGGAGCAAACAGGAUUAGAUACCCCUGUAAA